GUUUCUCAUAUUCAUCUGAUCAUUUUUGUUUUAUUUUUUGAUUUUGGUAGUCUUUCUUCCUCUACAUGGUUUUUGUGAGGUUGCUCCACAGGCUAACCAAAACGCAAAAGUCUAUAGACAGGUUGAAUAAAUGAAAGAUUAGAGCUCCAAUAUUUCAAAGAUAAACCUGGAGUAAUUAUUUGCAUGGAAGUUAUUGUCAGGAUGAUGAGAUAUUACCACCCACCCACGAAGUGCAAAACAAAGGGAUAAUUCUGAGAUGAGCUUGGAAGAUUAAAAUUGUGGAGAAGAU
This is a long non-coding RNA of Camelina sativa (false flax), 289 nucleotides long. RefSeq lists it as uncharacterized. The record is from RefSeq and is a predicted model, not a curated record. Lineage: Eukaryota; Viridiplantae; Streptophyta; Magnoliopsida; Brassicales; Brassicaceae.